This 749-nucleotide ribosomal RNA is filed under the name uncultured Streptococcus sp. RNAcentral's name for it is "bacterial SSU rRNA". It matches the Rfam family "Bacterial small subunit ribosomal RNA", at positions 28 to 776 of the family's 1533-position model. The record is from RNAcentral. Lineage: Bacteria; Bacillati; Bacillota; Bacilli; Lactobacillales; Streptococcaceae.
AUUGAACGCUGGCGGCAUGCCUUACACAUGCAAGUCGAACGGCAGCACGGGAGCAAUCCUGGUGGCGAGUGGCGAACGGGUGAGUAAUACAUCGGAACGUGCCCAAUCGUGGGGGAUAACGCAGCGAAAGCUGUGCUUAAUACCGCAUACGAUCUACGGAUGAAAGCAGGGGAUCGCAAGACCUUUGCGCGAAUGGGGGCGGCCGAUGGGCAGAUUAGGUAGUUGGUGAGGUAAAGGCUCACCAAGCGGUCGAUCUGUAGCUGGUCUGGAGAGGGCCGACCAGCCACACUGGGACUGAGACACGGCCCAGGACUCCUAACGGGGGGGCAGCAGGGGGGGAAUUUUGGACAAUGGGCCGAAAGCUUGAUCCAGCCCAUGCCGCGUGCGUGAAGAAGGGCUUCCGGAUUGUAAAGCACUUUAAGUUGGGAGGAAAGGGUUUAGGAUAAUAACUUUGCAUUUUUGACGUAACCGCAGAAUAAGCACCCGCCUAACUCUGUGCAACAGGCGCGGUAAUACAGAGGGUCAAACUUUAAUCGAAUUACUGGGCGUAAAGCGCGCGUGGUGGUAGUAAGUUGGAUGUGAAUCCCCGGGUCAACUGGGAACUGCUUCAAAACUGACUGACUAGAGAUGUAGAGGGUGUGGAAUUUCCUGUGUAGCGGUGAAAGCGUAGAUAUAGGAAGGAACACCAGUGGCGAAGCGACCACCUGGACUGAUACUGACACUGAGGUGCGAAGCUGGGAGGAAACAGG